Molecule: long non-coding RNA, 1231 nt
Filed under: Gallus gallus (chicken)
Lineage: Eukaryota; Metazoa; Chordata; Aves; Galliformes; Phasianidae
Description: long non-coding RNA NONGGAT001291
Source: RNAcentral
ACCCUGUCCAUAUUAGAUUACCCAGAAUGUCUGCCAUAGCCUUGCAUAAUAUUCACAGCAUCACAUAAUGGCAGAAGUGGAAAGGGACACGUGGAUCCAUCUGGCCCAACUCCUGUUCAAGCAGAGGCAUCCAGGAGUCCAUACGCCCAAGCCUCUGUUACUGAUGCCUUGAUGUCCUGAUGUGUCGACAGCACAUGGGUGACAAAAUGUGGUUAAAACAAAGUAAUGGGUACAUAUUUAAUACUGCAUAUUGUUGUUCCAGGUAUCACCUAAAAUCUUCCUGCAUAUAAAUGACUCUUUUUCAGAAAUGCAAAUGGAUUGAAUCUUACAGCUGUACUGAGGCAGCUCCAGGCUUGGCAACUAAAUUAAGUUACACAAAUGCAAAUAAGCAGUGAAUGACAUCCAGCAGAUCUGACUGACCUCAUUUUCUCAUCUGCAUGACCACGAAGUGAAAGCAACCUACAGAAAUUACUAGAUUUAUGGUUGGGAAAAAAAACACAGUGCAGGUAAACAACAGAUGUGACUCAGCUGGAAAACCCACUUUUAAGUUCCUGCAUAUAUUCUUGACGAUUUUCACAAUACAACUGGAUGGUGAGUGCCUCAGGUACUGGGGCAGUGACAUUGCAAUUAAAAUGUCUCACUAUGGUCCCUAUGACAGAAAUUUGAACUUCAAACAAUGUUUGCCCUAAGGCGGUCCCCAGGAGGGCUGGCUGCCAAAGGAUGUCUGCUCAAUGUGGUGAGGGGAUACACAGCAACCUUAUCCUACUAAACAUUCGGGUAUGGACCCUUACCAUGCUGUGCUGCAUUCCUCAGCAUGGAAGAAGCUUUGACCUCCAUGAGAAAUGGGAGGAACCUGGGAUCUGCAUAAAACCAUAGGAAUGGCUAGCAGAAAAACAGGUGUUCUGUUACUGCUAUUUAAGCUUUUCAUGAAGCAAACACUGUAUGAGAGGGCUUUAACCUUGUACAACUCACACAGCCUUUAAUUGGAGCACAGUGGGAAAGGCACCUGCCUGCAGCACCUGUCUGUCUUGUCCAUAAGCACCUCCCUCAUAUCAGAACAGUUUCAGUUGUCUCCUAGAAGUGUAUCAUUUUGUUGAGCGAUAAAUGGAACUGUGAAAUAUUGCCUGUAAUCAGCACCCUUUAUGGCAAAGCUCAUUAAAUUCCUGACAAGUCUAGAGUUGACAGCACUUUAAUUUUGCUUUAUUGCCUCAUUUUAUCUCACCAAUUUCUU